UACGUAGGGUGCGAGCGUUAAUCGGAAUUACUGGGCGUAAAGCGUGCGCAGGCGGUUCGUUAAGUUCGUUGUGAAAGCCCCGGGCUCAACCUGGGAACUGCAAUGGAAACUGGCGGGCUUGAGUGUGGCAGAGGGGGGUGGAAUUCCGCGUGUAGCAGUGAAAUGCGUAGAUAUCAAGUGGAACACCAGUGGCGAAGGCGAAUCCCUGGAAAAUACCUGACACUGAGGCACGAAAGCUAGGGGAGCAAACAGG
Molecule: ribosomal RNA, 253 nt
Filed under: uncultured bacterium
Lineage: Bacteria
Description: partial 16S ribosomal RNA
Rfam family: Bacterial small subunit ribosomal RNA
Source: RNAcentral